RNAcentral lists this ribosomal RNA (502 nucleotides) under uncultured bacterium. RNAcentral's name for it is "partial 16S ribosomal RNA". It matches the Rfam family "Bacterial small subunit ribosomal RNA", at positions 30 to 523 of the family's 1533-position model. The record is from RNAcentral.
AUUGAACGCUGGCGGAAUGCUUUACACAUGCAAGUCGAACGGCAGCACGGGAGCUUGCUCCUGGUGGCGAGUGGCGAACGGGUGAGUAAUAUAUCGGAACGUAUCCAAUAAUGGGGGAUAACUAGUCGAAAGAUUAGCUAAUACCGCAUACGCCCUGAGGGGGAAAGCUGGGGAUCUUCGGACCUGGCGUUAAUGGAGCGGCCGAUAUCUGAUUAGCUAGUAGGUGAGGUAAAAGCUCACCUAGGCGACGAUCAGUAGCUGGUCUGAGAGGACGACCAGCCACACUGGAACUGAGACACGGUCCAGACUCCUACGGGAGGCAGCAGUGGGGAAUUUCGGACAAUGGGCGCAAGCCUGAUCCAGCCAUUCCGCGUGAGUGAAGAAGGCCUUCGGGUUGUAAAGCUCUUUCGCAAGGGAAGAAAACUUAUCCUCUAACAUAGGAUGAGGUUGACGGUACCUUGAUAAGAAGCACCGGCUAACUACGUGCCAGCAGCUGCGGUAA